This 504-nucleotide ribosomal RNA is filed under the name uncultured bacterium. RNAcentral's name for it is "bacterial SSU rRNA". It matches the Rfam family "Bacterial small subunit ribosomal RNA", at positions 355 to 857 of the family's 1533-position model. The record is from RNAcentral.
UAAGGAAUAUUGGUCAAUGGACGCAAGUCUGAACCAGCCAUGCCGCGUGAAGGAUGAAGGUCCUCUGGAUUGUAAACUUCUUUUAUGUGGGAAGAAAUGUCCGGAUUAUUCUGGAUUUGACGGUACCAUAGGACUAAGCACCGGCUAACUCCGUGCCAGCAGCCGCGGUAAUACGGAGGGUGCGAGCGUUAUCCGGAUUCACUGGGUUUAAAGGUGCGUAGGGUGGGGGAAUGUAAGUCAGUGGUGAAAUCUCCGGGCUUAACUCGGAAACUGCCAUUGAUACUAUGUUUCUUGAAUUUUCCGGAGGUUAGCGGAAUAUGUCAUGUAGCGGUGAAAUGCUUAGAUAUGACAUAGAACACCAAUUGCGAAGGCAGCUAACUACAGGGAUAUUGACACUGAGGCACGAAAGCGUGGGGAUCAAACAGGAUUAGAUACCCUGGUAGUCCACGCCCUAAACGAUGGAUACUCGACAUACGUGAUAGACAAUGUGUGUCUGAGCGAAAA